This is a long non-coding RNA of Carassius carassius (crucian carp), 582 nucleotides long. RefSeq lists it as uncharacterized. The transcript has 2 exons. Lineage: Eukaryota; Metazoa; Chordata; Actinopteri; Cypriniformes; Cyprinidae. The record is from RefSeq and is a predicted model, not a curated record.
AGUCUGAUAUCAGUGUGUGAGUCUCUUCUCUCUUUCUCUGCUGGAGUUUGUGUUUAUUUGAGUGUGACGGAGGUUUUUGUUCGACGCUUUCACUAGAAUGAAGCACUGUGGUACACUUUUGGUGGAGGAACUAAACUGACCAUCGCUGGUCCCGCAGUGAAGCCCUCCGUGUCUCUGCUGCCUCCCUCUUCUCUGCAGAUCUCUGGAGACUCAGCCGCACUGCUCUGUCUGCUCAGCUCUUACUCUCCACAGGGGGCGCAGGUGAGCUGGACGCUGGACGGGUCAGAGGUCACCGAGGGGGUUCAGACCAGCGCAGAGAGCGAGCGGGACGGACGCUACAGCCGCAGCAGCGUCCUGAGCCUCAGCAAAGCACGCUGGGAAGCCGGCGAGCGCUUCGUCUGCAGAGUAACACAUGACGGAGCUGAUCACGAGACCUCGUUCCUCAAGAGCUCCGAGUGCUGAUGUUUCUCCAGUGAAGAGCAGCAGGAUUCACAGCAGUCUCCUGAUUUACAGCUCAAUACUCAAGCAGUCUUUCAAUGUGCUGCCAUUGCUGUUCAUUCAAUAAAGCUUCUGAACGCCUUA